GAUGCUGGUCAUCCGCCUGAGGCCCUGCAGCACAGCCCCACCGGUGUCGGAGGGUCCUCGCGGCACAUGGGGUCAGUGGGAACAUGCUGUGGACUCGCCAGCCUGAUGCAGUGUCUUGGCUCUGCUGCUUUAGUGAAUUUGGGUUAAAUUCUCACCCUCCCAGAGCCCCAGUUUCAGUUGAAAAGGACUGGCUCAUACCUACCCUCAUCACUGCUGAGAACAUUAGGGGAAAUGGUGAAAAACAUGCACCUGAUUUGGGGUCUGGCCUGUUGGCAUUACUCAAUAAGGGACAGCAUGUCCCUGGGCAUUUAAUGGUCUCUGAACACCCACGUAGUGCCUACUAGCCGGGUAAUGAUUUCCAUGCAGGUAUGACCCAGAUACUACAAAAACAUCGAAUGAUACAAAAGUACUGUUAGUUUAUUCAGAUGGCUUGUGUCCUUUUCCCUGUGUCCUCCCCAGGGCACCCAGAACAGCGUCCUGGGCGAUUGGAGGGACUGUCCCGUUUGUUCUGGGGGUGGUUCAGAAGCGCGGAGCCUACAACAGCAGAGAGCGCGGUCUGCCCUGAAUACAGCUUCAAAAGGCUGUUCGGUGAACGCAGUGGCAUGAAGUCAGAAAAAAAUGAUUUUCUUUCUACGAAGACAGGCACGCUGUUUCGGGAAGACGGCAUGACAGUAGUAUCGAUUCCUGUAACAGCCCUGUGGUUUCUGAGAGCUCAGGAUUGCACCUCAAGGUGACUGUCGGAAGGACUGUUUGGCUGCGCUGCGGUGGGCCCGCCCGAGAGCCCCAGGGCAGCUCUGAGUUCAUGCACUUGGCAUUACUGAGCAAGAGCGGGAACCCAGGGAGAUGAGCAGCUACUAUGUGAUUUCAAAAAGGAACAGACCUGUGCUGCCAAAUGCGAUCAUGGCCUCACUUCUUCCUACGCGACACCAUGAAAACACGGCCCGUUUGCCACAGCGGAGGCACAGAGCCUGGUUGGACCACUUGUUUGGCCAAUCGGAAGACCAUAAACACAUGUAACUCUGCGAUGUGGAUUGCCAUGCAAGCGUCAUCGCCGGUAAUGCUGACCUGGGGCUCGGACGCUGGCCCACAGGCCAUGAGGACUGGACCCCCGGGACCUGCGCCUCAUUCCCUUCACUGGGCAGAGGCAGCUGUCCCCACCUGAUGUCCUGCAGGGGGGAAAUAGGCACAGGCUGGUCUGAUAACAUGGCCCCUUCGUGGAAAUGGGAAAUAAGGUGGGAUUUAGCCUCAGUUGGCCAGUUAAGAGUCCUGCUGCGUCCGGCUCCAAGAUGCUCAUUAGACCUCCGGGGUCUGCAGGGAGAGGCAGGCACCUGGCUGAAGGGACCACAAGGAGUCCCUUGCAGCCUCAGCGAUACCACUGUCCUCCUCUGUUUUACCAGCUUCACACCCACAACACUCUACAGGUGAGGACACGGCGCCCACCGGGCGGGACACUCCUUCCUGCUGGCUAAGGUGCCUCGCCCGCACGCCUGCCAAGUGCCAUACACCCAGCACACCAGGUUCUCAGGGUGCUGGGCCAUCUUCCCUUUCCUCGUCAAGGGAGACGCUUCCCCAGAAGGUUGUUUCCUAGACACGGGAGGUGUGUGGCUGGCCUGCAGUAACCUGUGUCCUGGCAGGUGAAGGCCCAGGACGCCUGCCCCAUGUGGUGGGGACAAGAUCACAUAACACCUAGCGGGGGGACCUGCAUACAGAAGGCACGUAGAAGCUGUUCAGCAGCAACCUUUGCUGCAUCCAUGGCUUUUAAAAACAUACGUGUGUUUCAUGUCUAAAGAGAUGUUCUUCCAGUGUCUGAACAAUUGGUAUUAGAACUAGACCAGAUGAGAUCUUUGCCUUCAAAUUAUGACUUAGCACAAAUCAGAAAGUGCACUAUUUUGCCAGCAAUACUCUUGCUGGGAGUGUAACCAUGUCUCUAUUGAGUCGAUGUCAUUUGACCUUUGUGGAGGCAUUGAUUCAUUUCUGCAUAAAUGAAUCAGAUACCAAGAUCUGUCUCCUUAGGUAACAUUAAGGAAUCACAGUGCAUUUCCCCUCCUACUUACUUCUAGUUUGUUUUUGUCUGAAAGAUUGAAAAUAAGCACCAGUGAGAGUCAGGGCGAGAAAAGGCCUUUCCCCUGGCCGCACAUGCGGCUCCUGGGUCUGUAAGGGCAGAGUUCAGAGGGGCCGGUCCAGGGGGACACGGGUCCUGCCUCCACUUCGGUCUCUGAUAUACACAGGCCUCCAAACUCCGAGAGCUCAUGCCUGGCCUGCGGGGGGCAAGGGAUGGCUGAGGGGUCAGCUGAGGGGUCGGUGAGCUGACCAGUCGCAGACCCGGCACCCCUUCUUCAGUGAAGCUAGGACAUCACCCUGAACUGACGGGAAGACUGAGCAACUCAUCAGGGCCACCGCAUCUCCGUGUGCCGUAUGUGACGUGGAUGAAAAUAGACUGAACUGGAAGCAACCUUCCUUAUGACCCUGCAGAAUCAUGUAACUGUUCUGGUAGCCAUUUAUUGAAAAGAUUAGCACCUAAGUAGGGCUGAUGACUUGUGAGAUUCACACAGAGGCCAAGCAAACUGACUUUUGCAUCUGAUACUCUACUUUGAAAUGAUAGGCUGGCCUUUGCAAUCUUGCUUAUCUUUGAUAGCAAAUAAAGA
Long non-coding RNA from Manis javanica (Malayan pangolin), 2645 nucleotides. RefSeq lists it as uncharacterized. The record is from RefSeq and is a predicted model, not a curated record. Lineage: Eukaryota; Metazoa; Chordata; Mammalia; Pholidota; Manidae.